This 253-nucleotide ribosomal RNA is filed under the name uncultured bacterium. RNAcentral describes it as "partial 16S ribosomal RNA". It matches the Rfam family "Bacterial small subunit ribosomal RNA", at positions 524 to 776 of the family's 1533-position model. The record is from RNAcentral.
UACGUAGGUGGCAAGCGUUGUCCGGAUUUACUGGGCGUAAAGAGCGCGCAGGCGGUCGAAUAAGUCGAAUGUGAAAGCCCCCGGCUCAACUGGGGAGGGUCAUUCGAUACUGCUCGACUUGAAGGCAGGAGAGGGUAGUGGAAUUCCCGGUGUAGUGGUGAAAUGCGUAGAUAUCGGGAGGAACACCAGUGGCGAAGGCGACUUCCUGGCCUGUUCUUGACGCUGAGGCGCGAAAGCUAGGGGAGCAAACGGG